CCUCGUAAAGAUUUUCCUAAAAUAGCAUGUGCAUAAAGGAAACUACAUGAAGAAAGUUAUCAAUCUAUUUUAAACUAAGAACAUUGGUAACGUCCACACCCUGAAUCUAAUAAGUAUCCUUCUUAUCAUGGUUGAUGUCACUCAAAUACUAUUACUUAUCUUGGUCGAUACAAAUAGACUGUCGCACUAUUUAUUUCAUAAGCUACUGAUCCACUAAUUAUUUGGAUAACAUCCUUUUUCUCCUGACCUUUGAUUUCGGUACUUCAUCUUCAUCUUCAAGCAAUGUAUUUUUGGCUUUUGCUUUAACAUGUUUCUUGUUCCCGCAAACACCUUUUCCCUUUUUUUAGGCAUAUUCGUCUUAGUGCAUUCAUCCUCUGACUCAUCUGAUAUUACAACAGAUCUCAGUCUCCUUUUAGUGCCACUGCGGAGCUCACGUGAUGAUGAUGGUAUUUUGUCUUGACGCUUAUCUUUAUUUAAUGUAGUCCCAUUGCUGUCAUGUGGCUCCUCUUUCACAGGCACCAGUUCACAUGAAAGUUUGCCAGAUGAAACUUUAUUAUUCUAUGACUGCAAAGAUAAACAUUUUGAAAAUUAGACACAUCUCUAAAAUCUGAAGUGUGUACAUUGUUAAAAAAACAAUCACCUUUCUAUCUGGCAUGUUUUGCUUCUUCAUUAACACAGUGUCCACCUCAUCAUCCAUUAAGGAAUUCUAAAAAUGGUAAAAAGUUAAUGCAGCUUUACCUCCUCGGCUUUAUUGUCCAAAUAGAGCAUCUCAAGCCUAUCAUCAGGCACAAAUGUUCUUUUUACGGCAUAGUUUUGUGUGCCAAAUGUUAGAUUAUUAUCAUUGAGCUUGAAUCUAAAUAUGAGUCUUUUUCCACAUAAUUGUUGAAUAAUCUUUGGCGCUUCUUCCGAUUUCCCAUCCUGUGUGUCCAGCAGAUUAGAUGCAGAUGUAUUAAGCAAUCUUGUAGCCUCCUCAUCAAAUAAAGUGCAACUUGUAGUAGAUGUAUGGUCACUAAUUUGGAGUCGAACAGGGUACCUAACACAUGAUUCCUGGUAGUGGAGAGUAAAUAUAAUAUAACAUUUUUUUCAUAUUUUAGUAAUAUAAUAUGCUUACCAUGGUGUGACCUUUUCUGGAUAUAUACCACAACUCUUGCAAUAAUAAUGGUCACUAAUUUGUGGCACUUAUCACAUGACAUGUACCACCAUUGAAUAUUUUCUUGCAAACGAUCCACUGUAGCUAUGACAGUGAACACAAAAUCCUAAAGAAAACAACAUUAGCAUUUGGGUGGGGUGUGGGAUUAAGAGGCAUAUAUAAGCACAAUAUGGUUUCAUUGUAACUAAUAUUAAAUGAAUUGUCCAUGCAGGUCUUAUCGCGUAUCACGGAGAUUGAUGAUAUCAUUUAUUGGAAUUUUGAUGCGUUACCUGGUCUGGCUGGUUUCCGUGCCUCAUUGCA
This 1450-nucleotide long non-coding RNA is filed under the name Triticum aestivum (bread wheat). RNAcentral's name for it is "long non-coding RNA (TAES_LNC022602)". Lineage: Eukaryota; Viridiplantae; Streptophyta; Magnoliopsida; Poales; Poaceae. The record is from RNAcentral.